GACGAACGCUGGCGGCGUGCUUAACACAUGCAAGUCGAACGGUGAAGCGCCUUACUUUUUGGUGGGUGUGGAGGAGUGGCGAACUGGUGAAUAACACGUGAGUAACCUUCCCCCAUCUUCAGGAUAUCCGCAUGAAAGUGUGGCUACUACUGGAUAUUCUGGGUCUGUCGCAUGAUUGGUCUGGGAAAGAUAUUGUUUCGGUGGGGGAUGGGUUCGCGGCGUAUCAGCUUGUUGGUGGGGUGAUGGCCUACCAAGGCGGUGACGGGUAGCCGGCCUGAGAGGGAGGGCCGUCAAACUACGUAUGAGCCGUAGCGAAGACUCCGACGGGCAGCAGAAGUGAGACAUACUCCACAAUGGGCGUAAUGCUGAUGCAGCGCCGCGGAUGGAGGGAUAGCGGCCUGGGCGUUGAAAACCUAUAUAGGCAAUGAAGCAGGAUUGCAUUGUUUAUGGGCGGGUUGACGGUAGCUGGAUAAGAAGCGCCGGCUAACUACGUG
Molecule: ribosomal RNA, 494 nt
Filed under: uncultured bacterium
Lineage: Bacteria
Description: partial 16S ribosomal RNA
Rfam family: Bacterial small subunit ribosomal RNA
Source: RNAcentral